UGAGCAACCUGCCCUUGACUCUGGAAUAACAGUUGGAAACAGCUGCUAAUACCGGAUACGACCUCCGACGGCAUCAUCUGGAGGUGGAAAGCUCCGACGGUCAAGGAUGGGCUCGCGGCCUAUCAGCUUUGUUGGUGAGGUAACGCUCACCAAGGCUUCGACGGGCAGCCGGCCUGAGAGGGCCGACCGGCCACACGUGGGACUGAGAUACCGGCCCAGACCUCCGUAGGGACGG
RNAcentral lists this ribosomal RNA (235 nucleotides) under uncultured bacterium. RNAcentral's name for it is "partial 16S ribosomal RNA". It matches the Rfam family "Bacterial small subunit ribosomal RNA", at positions 118 to 348 of the family's 1533-position model. The record is from RNAcentral.